This 71-nucleotide transfer RNA is filed under the name Mycoplasmopsis gallinacea. Its description in RNAcentral is "Mycoplasma gallinaceum tRNA". It matches the Rfam family "tRNA". Rfam says of the family: Transfer RNA (tRNA) molecules are approximately 80 nucleotides in length. Their secondary structure includes four short double-helical elements and three loops (D, anti-codon, and T loops). The record is from Rfam by way of RNAcentral. Lineage: Bacteria; Bacillati; Mycoplasmatota; Mycoplasmoidales; Metamycoplasmataceae.
GGGGGUUUGGUAUAAUGGCAUUACAGUAGUCUCCAAAACUUUUGAUAAGGGUUCGAUUCCUUUAACCCCCG